Molecule: long non-coding RNA, 177 nt
Organism: Salvelinus sp. IW2-2015
Lineage: Eukaryota; Metazoa; Chordata; Actinopteri; Salmoniformes; Salmonidae
Source: RefSeq, a predicted model, not a curated record
UGGUGCGUUUUCUCGUUGUACACAGAGCGGAACGCUUUACGACCACGCAGGCUGAAGCGAUUCUGAUUGUCGCUAACAUUUUGUGAACGACUAGCGAUCAAUAAGGAUGAUUGAGGUGGUUUGCAAUGACCGGCUGGGCAAGAAGGUUCGGGUGAAGUGCAACUCAGAAGACACAGU